GCCCAGCUAGCUCAGUUGAUAGAGCAUGAGGCUCUUAAUCUCAGGGUUGUGGGUUCAUGCCCCACAUUGGGCG
This 73-nucleotide transfer RNA is filed under the name Mus pahari (shrew mouse). RNAcentral's name for it is "tRNA-Lys (CTT) (tRNA-Lys-CTT-5-1)". It matches the Rfam family "tRNA". From Rfam's summary of the family: Transfer RNA (tRNA) molecules are approximately 80 nucleotides in length. Lineage: Eukaryota; Metazoa; Chordata; Mammalia; Rodentia; Muridae. The record is from RNAcentral.